UGUGGUGUGAAGGACAAGCACAGCACAGAUGUUAAAGAUGAGCCACUGGCAGUGCAGUGAGUGUGCAUCAUAAUUCCAUACUGAAGAGACACAGCAUUUUUAAGGAAAGAAUAUUGUCUUCCUUUCCAUUUCCAAGUGAACACUGAAGGCAAACAUAGCUGACCAUGCCCGUAAAUAAAUUCAGACUCACAUCUGAAAGUCAAUCAGUCUGACUGUUGGACAGUAGAGUCCCUGUCUGUCUUGUUUUCAGGGAGAGGACAAAAUAUCAAGUGCAGAUCCCAUAAGGAUGGGCUUCAGAGAAACCUCCUUGAGUCAGGUUUUAUUCACAUCCUGGUAGUCGUGUUCUAAAGAACAUUACUGUACGAAAGUAAAAUGCAUGGUCUGCCUAACAUUCUUAGAACUGUUAUGUCUGGCUUGGUGGCACAUGCCUAGAAUCCAGUGUUCAGGAAGCUGAGGCAGAGGGCAGGCUGGGUUCUAUCUGUAACAAAAAUAAAACCACAAGUGCUUUCUUCCUACUACCUCACGUUUCUUAGCCCCAAAGAAACUCCAGACUCUUGCUUUUUCUUUCCCUCUUCUCUCUCUUCUCUCUUUCCUUUGUUUCGGUCUUGUCAGAGAACUGUACCUAGGAGGGUACGGUAGGCAGUGUAUCACUUUUUGUGCCAAGGGACAAUAGAUGAUGAUACAUACAUACCUAACAAAAUGGUGAUUGUAAAAUAAUCUCUUAAAUAUUUCUGACACAAAUCGAAAAACCGUGAAACUAGUCUACUAAGUUUUGUCUGCUUUAACCAUUGUUCGUUUCCAUAUGCUCUCCCUAAACCAUGGUUGUCAUACAUUGUCAAUUAUGAAGCAUAAGCUGUGGCUACCAUUUAUCAUCAUUAAGUGGCCCCAGCUUGAGAAACAAAAGGGUACAGUUAAAUCAUGCCCGUUACUGCAUAACAUGACAGCAACGAUCUGAGAAAAUUACUUUGUUGUAUAGUUUUGAAAAUAAGGAUUUAUAUUUUGGAUUUUUUUAAAUGGUAAGUUCUAUUAAAACCUGAACCUACACACCAAACUGUAUGAACUAACUUAAUUAUGAAGAGUUUUAUUUCUGUAUGUAAUUAAAGCUAUUUUUCUACAUU
Molecule: long non-coding RNA, 1118 nt
Filed under: Mus musculus (house mouse)
Lineage: Eukaryota; Metazoa; Chordata; Mammalia; Rodentia; Muridae
Description: long non-coding RNA chr3:40703622-40704740
Source: RNAcentral